UAAGGAAUAUUGGUCAAUGGACGCAAGUCUGAACCAGCCAUGCCGCGUGAAGGAUGAAGGUCCUCUGGAUUGUAAACUUCUUUUAUCUGGGACGAAAACGGGAUUUUUAUCUCAAUUGACGGUACCAGAGGAAUAAGCACCGGCUAACUCCGUGCCAGCAGCCGCGGUAAUACGAAGGGUGCAAGCGUUACUCGGAAUUACUGGGCGUAAAGCGUGCGUAGGUGGUUGUUUAAGUCUGAUGUGAAAGCCCUGGGCUCAACCUGGGAAUGGCAUUGGAAACUGGGCAGCUAGAGUGCGGUAGAGGGUAGUGGAAUUCCCGGUGUAGCAGUGAAAUGCGUAGAGAUCGGGAGGAACAUCUGUGGCGAAGGCGACUGCCUGGACCAGCACUGACACUGAGGCACGAAAGCGUGGGGAGCAAACA
This 421-nucleotide ribosomal RNA is filed under the name uncultured bacterium. RNAcentral describes it as "bacterial SSU rRNA". It matches the Rfam family "Bacterial small subunit ribosomal RNA", at positions 355 to 774 of the family's 1533-position model. The record is from RNAcentral.